AUUGAACGCUGGCGGCAGGCCUAACACAUGCAAGUCGAACGAGUGGCGGACGGGUGAGUAAUGUCUGGGACACUGCCUGAUGGAGGGGGAUAACUACUGGAACCGGUAGCUACUACCGCAUACCAUCGGAUGUUCCCAGAUGGGAUUAGCUAGUAGGUGGGGUAAAGGCUAACCUAGGCGACGAUCCCGAGCUGGUCUGCGCGGAUGACCAGCCAAAUUGGAACUGAGACACGGGCCAGAAUCCUACGGGAGGCAGAAGUGGGGAAUAUUGCACAAUGGGCGCAAGCCUGAUGCAGCCAUGACGCGUGUAGGAAGAAGGCCUUCGGGUUGGAAAGUACUUUCAGCGGGGAGGCGUUACCCGAAGAAGAAGCACCGGCUAACUCCGUGCCAGCAGCCGCGGUAAUAC
Molecule: ribosomal RNA, 406 nt
Filed under: uncultured bacterium
Lineage: Bacteria
Description: partial 16S ribosomal RNA
Rfam family: Bacterial small subunit ribosomal RNA
Source: RNAcentral